GAUGAACGCUGGCGGCGUGCCUAAUACAUGCAAGUCGAGCGAACAGACGAGGAGCUUGCUCCUCUGACGUUAGCGGCGGACGGGUGAGUAACACGUGGAUAACCUACCUAUAAGACUGGGAUAACUUCGGGAAACCGGAGCUAAUACCGGAUAAUAUAUUGAACCGCAUGGUUCAAUAGUGAAAGACGGUUUUGCUGUCACUUAUAGAUGGAUCCGCGCCGCAUUAGCUAGUUGGUAAGGUAACGGCCUACCAAGGCAACGAUGCGUAGCCGACCUGAGAGGGUGAUCGGCCACACUGGAACUGAGACACGGUCCAGACUCCUACGGGAGGCAGCAGUAGGGAAUCUUCCGCAAUGGGCGAAAGCCUGACGGAGCAACGCCGCGUGAGUGAUGAAGGUCUUCGGAUCGUAAAACUCUGUUAUUAGGGAAGAACAAAUGUGUAAGUAACUAUGCACGUCUUGACGGAACCUAAUCAGAAAGCCACGGCGAACUACGG
This 496-nucleotide ribosomal RNA is filed under the name uncultured bacterium. RNAcentral's name for it is "partial 16S ribosomal RNA". It matches the Rfam family "Bacterial small subunit ribosomal RNA", at positions 28 to 506 of the family's 1533-position model. The record is from RNAcentral.